AUACGUAGGGAGCGAGCGUUGUCCGGAAUUACUGGGUGUAAAGGGUGCGUAGGCGGGACUGCAAGUCAGAUGUGAAAUGCCGGGGCUCAACCCCGGAGCUGCAUUUGAAACUGUGGUUCUUGAGUGAGGUAGAGGUAAGCGGAAUUCCUAGUGUAGCGGUGAAAUGCGUAGAUAUUAGGAGGAACACCAGUGGCGAAGGCGACUUACUGGACUGUAACUGACGCUGAGGCGCGAAAGUGUGGGGAGCAAACAGGAUUAGAUACCCUGGUAGUCCACACUGUAAACGAUGAAUGCUAGGUGUAGGGGGUAUCGACCCCUUCUGUGCCGCAGUCAACACAAUAAGCAUUCCGCCUGGGGAGUACGGCCGCAAGGUUGAAACUCAAAUGAAUUGACGGGG
Molecule: ribosomal RNA, 397 nt
Filed under: uncultured bacterium
Lineage: Bacteria
Description: partial 16S ribosomal RNA
Rfam family: Bacterial small subunit ribosomal RNA
Source: RNAcentral